RNAcentral lists this ribosomal RNA (301 nucleotides) under uncultured bacterium. Its description in RNAcentral is "partial 16S ribosomal RNA". It matches the Rfam family "Bacterial small subunit ribosomal RNA", at positions 509 to 807 of the family's 1533-position model. The record is from RNAcentral.
CAGCAGCCACGGGAAUACGUAGGGUGCGAGCGUUAAUCGGAAUUACUGGGCGUAAAGCGUGCGCAGGCGGUUUUGUAAGACAGGCGUGAAAUCCCCGGGCUCAACCUGGGAAUGGCGCUUGUGACUGCAAAGCUAGAGUGCGGCAGAGGGGGAUGGAAUUCCGCGUGUAGCAGUGAAAUGCGUAGAUAUGCGGAGGAACACCGAUGGCGAAGGCAAUCCCCUGGGCCUGCACUGACGCUCAUGCACGAAAGCGUGGGGAGCAAACAGGAUUAGAUACCCGUGUAGUCCCUGUCUCUUAUAC